UUGGUUGAAUUCUAAUGUAGAAUGCGGUCUAUUAUUUCUUGUUAACAGACGCUAAGUACCGUUGCCAUGAAAAACAAAGCGUUGCUAUGGACGCAGGAUUCUAACCUUAGAGACGGAAAGGGCUAUAUUUUCUUUAUUAUUUUCUUUAUUAUUUUUUCACAUUAUCCCUUACAUAAUAUAACGUAAUUAUUAGUAUUAUAACGCAAUAUAUCAUUAUAUAAAUAUAAUAAAAUAAAAAACGUUUAACACCUAACUGUUAUGUGACAAAUUCUAAAUCUGGCAGUGGGUAUAUAAGCUCACACACAGCGUACUCACACCUCACUCACUCAGUGGACAUCCCAACUGGACAUCCCAACUGGACAUCCCAACUGUCAGUUUCUCUGAGACCCUGCCCUACAGACAGACUAGCACGAUGUCAUCUCAGAAGGUGCUUGUGCCAAACAAUUUCCGAAACACACAGAAAAGGAAAUUGAUACAUGUAUAGGGGAAACCCUCAAACAUG
Cyprinus carpio (common carp) is the source of this 502-nucleotide long non-coding RNA. RefSeq lists it as uncharacterized. The transcript is spliced from 3 exons. NCBI's taxonomy places the organism in Eukaryota, Metazoa, Chordata, Actinopteri, Cypriniformes, Cyprinidae. The record is from RefSeq and is a predicted model, not a curated record.